UUAAAUUGAAGAGUUUGAUCAUGGCUCAGAUUGAAUGCUGGCGGCAGGCCUAACACAUGCAAGUCGAACGGUAACAGGAAACAGCUUGCU
This 90-nucleotide ribosomal RNA is filed under the name Escherichia coli. RNAcentral describes it as "partial 16S ribosomal RNA". It matches the Rfam family "Bacterial small subunit ribosomal RNA", at positions 1 to 90 of the family's 1533-position model. Lineage: Bacteria; Pseudomonadati; Pseudomonadota; Gammaproteobacteria; Enterobacterales; Enterobacteriaceae. The record is from RNAcentral.